CCCGCACAAGCGGUGGAGCAUGUGGUUUAAUUCGACGCAACGCGAAGAACCUUACCAGGGUUUGACAUCCCUGACAGACUAUGAAAGUAGGACUUUUGCCUUCGGGCAGACAGGGAGACAGGUGGUGCAUGGUUGUCGUCAGCUCGUGUCGUGAGAUGUUGGGUUAAGUCCCGCAACGAGCGCAACCCUUACCCUUAGUUGCCAGCGGGUAAUGCCGGGCACUCUAAGGGGACCGCCCCGGAUAACGGGGAGGAAGGCGGGGAUGACGUCAAGUCAGCAUGGCCCUUAUGUCCAGGGCUACACACGUGCUACAAUGGGCGAUACAGAGGGAAGCAAGGCCGCAAGGUAGAGCUAAUCCCUAAAGUCGUCCUCAGUUCGGAUUGCAGGCUGCAACUCGCCUGCAUGAAGUCGGAAUCGCUAGUAAUCGCGGAUCAGCUACGCCGCGGUGAAUACGUUCUCGGGCCUU
Molecule: ribosomal RNA, 466 nt
Filed under: uncultured Aminicenantes bacterium
Lineage: Bacteria; Candidatus Aminicenantota
Description: bacterial SSU rRNA
Rfam family: Bacterial small subunit ribosomal RNA
Source: RNAcentral